AUGUGUGUGUGUGUGUGUGUGAGUGUGUGUGAGUGCGCUCUCGCUCUCGCUCUCGGCCCUGCCCCCCGCCCUCCCCUCCCGCCCCCGUUUCCUCCCGGGCUUGUGCAGUCUCGGGCCCAGACCGCGGAAAUGGGGUCCGGGGGGCGGGGCGGGGCGGGGGAGGGGCCCGGGGGGGAGGGGGGCGCCGCCGCCGUCGCCCCAGAUCGGGGGGUCCCCAAGCCCCCCCUCCCCCGCCCCCUCCCCCGCCCUGUGGCGCGGAGCGGGAGGGGGUCGGGGGUCGGGGGGGUCGGGGAGUUGGGGGGGGCUGGGGGGGGGUGGAGAUGGCGAGCCGGGUCCCCCCCUCCCCCGCCUUCAUUUCCUGGGUGGGGCCGGACACGUUUAAAACGUCCCGAGCCGGAACGGGGCCCGCAGCCCCGCAGCCAGGAGCCCCGGCCGCCCCGGACCCCCUGGGGACCCCCCGCCCCCGCCGCCGCCCCCUCCCCCCGCCCCGGCCCGCCGGGCGCCGCCGCGAGGGGCUUCGCCACCGAACCCCGCCACCGACGGCCGGCCAACCGUCACCCCGAGGACCCGCCGGCCCCGCCGGGCCCCCCGACCCCGCCGGCCCCGGGACCCGCCGAGCCGCGGCCCGACGCAGGCGGGACCGGGGAUCCGCGCCGCCGUCGACGCCCACGGCCCCCCGACCGGCCAUGCCGGGCCCGUGGGCGGCUGCCCCUGAGCCCCGGGGCCCGGCCGCCUCCGCCCGGCCGCUGUAGCCCCCCCUCCCGCCCGCCCGCCCGCCCGUCCGUCCGUCCGUCCGUCCGUCCGUCCAGCCCCCCCCCGUCCGCCCCCCGCCCGGCCCGGGCCAGAGCGCGCCCCUCUCCAUGCGCUUGCGGCGCCCCGGGGAGCUGGCCGGGGCAGCUGCUGCAGCAGCAGCGGCGGCGGCGGCCGGAGCACCGGCACCGGGACCGGGACCGGGACCCGGAGGAGGAAGGCCGGAAGGCCCGGGGCCCGCGGCCCGCCAGGACCCGCCGCCCGCCGCCCCCUCGCAAACUUUGGACUUGUGGGGGGGGCCGGGGGCUUGAUCUUUGGGGCGCCGCCGCGUCGGGAGGGGCGACCCGCCCCUGA
This 1104-nucleotide long non-coding RNA is filed under the name Ornithorhynchus anatinus (platypus). Its description in RNAcentral is "lncRNA (ENSOANG00000050441.1)". Lineage: Eukaryota; Metazoa; Chordata; Mammalia; Monotremata; Ornithorhynchidae. The record is from RNAcentral.